The sequence is a ribosomal RNA, 997 nucleotides long. The stretch from base 419 to 997 matches the Rfam family "Archaeal large subunit ribosomal RNA", at positions 1423 to 2774 of the family's 2987-position model.
ACAUUGUUUUGAGUUUAAUUCUCGUUUUUUUCAUUUAUAAAAGUCGGAUUUUGUUUUUCUAAAUACCUUUUGCAUAAUGGCUUUACAAUAAAAUUUGAAAUCGGGGGUCCCGAAUUUGGGCGAGCUAGGGGGGGGGUCCUUUUAGGGUUUCAACGUGUGUGUAUCAAUACUUAGGUUUAAACUCCCCUUAGGGGUGACAUACUACACAAGCUUCAGGAUAUCUGGAUAUUAGGUAAAUAAAUGUAGUUUGUAAGAAAGAAGGGGAGUGUUUAGGCUUCCCUUUAUGAAAAUUUUUUUUUUUGAGCGCAUAUUGAUUUAAAAACAAAUAUUUUUUGGAAGCUAUCAUACUAUAAAAAAGAAUUUCGAUAGUACCUUUUACCACUUUUAACUUCUAGGGUUGUUUUUAAUGUAUAGAUAAGUAUUACUUAAAAAUAUUGUAAGCGAACUCGGCAAAAAUUCCCCUCGACUGUUUAACAAAAACAUAGCCAACCGGAUUAUGGUAGGUGAAACCUGCUCAGUGAUAUAUUUUAACAGCCGCAGUACUCUGACUGUGCUAAGGUAGCAUAAUAAAUUGGCUUUUAAUUGGAGUCUUGUAUGAAAGGAUAAACGGGGGGUAACUAUUCCAUAAUAUAAUUAAAAAAUUACUAAUGUGGUGAAAAUUCCCCAAAGGAUAAAAAAGACGAGAAGACCCCUAGAAUUUUUUAAAAAAGGGAAAUAAUCCUUUGUUUUGGCUGGGGCGGCAAAUUUUCAAAAAACAUAAUUUUUAAUAUUUCACAUGAACUUUUAGUGUUAGAUUAAAUUACCUUGGGGAUAACAGCAUAAUAUUUUAUGAUUGUGACCUCGAUGUUGGACUAGGAUAGGGCACCACUAGCCGUAGUGUCUAUAAGUUCUGUUCGAACUUUCUUUCCUACAUGAUCUGAGUUCAGACCGGCGCAAGCCAGGUCAGAUUCUAUCUUUUAUCAUCUUUAAGACAGUACGAAAGGACAACCUAAAGUUU